This 427-nucleotide ribosomal RNA is filed under the name uncultured bacterium. RNAcentral describes it as "partial 16S ribosomal RNA". It matches the Rfam family "Bacterial small subunit ribosomal RNA", at positions 355 to 774 of the family's 1533-position model. The record is from RNAcentral.
UGGGGAAUAUUGGACAAUGGGCGAAAGCCUGAUCCAGCCAUGCCGCGUGUGUGAAGAAGGUCUUCGGAUUGUAAAGCACUUUAAGUUGGGAGGAAGGGCAUUAACCUAAUACGUUAGUGUUUUGACGUUACCGACAGAAUAAGCACCGGCUAACUCUGUGCCAGCAGCCGCGGUAAUACAGAGGGUGCAAGCGUUAAUCGGAAUUACUGGGCGUAAAGCGCGCGUAGGUGGUUUGUUAAGUUGGAUGUGAAAGCCCUGGGCUCAACCUGGGAACUGCAUCCAAAACUGGCAAGCUAGAGUACGGUAGAGGGUGGUGGAAUUUCCUGUGUAGCGGUGAAAUGCGUAGAUAUAGGAAGGAACACCAGUGGCGAAGGCGACCACCUGGACUGAUACUGACACUGAGGUGCGAAAGCGUGGGGAGCAAACA